This 1485-nucleotide ribosomal RNA is filed under the name metagenome. RNAcentral's name for it is "bacterial LSU rRNA". It matches the Rfam family "Bacterial large subunit ribosomal RNA", at positions 1441 to 2925 of the family's 2925-position model. The record is from RNAcentral.
GUACUUGUGCGAUUGUGCGAAGAAGGGACGCAGGAUGGUAGACAGGCCGGUUUUUGGAAUCCGGUGCAAGUGUGUAGGUAUGCUCCGCAGGCAAAUCCGCGGGGAUGAGCCGAGACACGAGUCCGUGGGCGUAAGCCCUGAAGCUGUUGAGCCACGGCUGCCAAGAAAAGCUUCUAAGUUUAGAUCGCGCGAACCGUACCGCAAACCAACUCAGGUGGAUGGGAUGAAUAAUCCAAGGCGCCCGAGAGAACUCUGGCCAAGGAACUCGGCAAAUUGACCCCGUACCUUCGGAAUAAGGGGUGCUCCCCACGGUGAGACAAAUUCUUGUUCAGCCCCGGGGAGCCGCAGAGAAAUGGUGGUGGCGACUGUUUACUAAAAACAUAGGUCUGUGCGAAGUCCUACAGACGACGUAUACGGACUGACGCCUGCCCGGUGCCGGAAGGUUAAAAGGAGGAGUCAGCGCAAGCGAAGCUCCGAUUUGAAGCCCCGGUAAACGGCGGCCGUAACUAUAACGGUCCUAAGGUAGCGAAAUUCCUUGUCGGGCAAGUUCCGACCUGCACGAAUGGCGUAACGAUCUCCACGCUGUCUCGGCCAGAGACUCGGUGAAAUUGAAGUCGCGGUGAAAAUGCCGUGUACCCGCAGAAAGACGGAAAGACCCUGUGCACCUUUACUAUAGCUUGACAUUGGGUUUUGAACCUGCAUGUGUAGGAUAGGUGGGAGGCUGUGAAAGCUGUACGCCAGUAUGGCCGGAGCCACCCGUGAAAUACCACCCUUGUUUGUUCAGGACCCUAACUCGCAGCUGUAAUCCAGCGCGAAGACAGUGUCUGGUGGGUAGUUUGACUGGGGCGGUCGCCUCCUAAAGAGUAACGGAGGCAUGCAAAGGUUCCCUCAGGCUGAUUGGAAACCAGCCGUUGAGUGCAAGCGCAUAAGGGAGCUUGACUGCAAGAGAGACAUCUCGAACAGAUACGAAAGUAGGUGCUAGCGAUCCGGUGGUCCCGAAUGGAAGGGCCAUCGCUCAUUGGAUAAAAGGUACGCCGGGGAUAACAGGCUGAUCGCAUCCAAGAGUUCACAUCGACGAUGCGGUUUGGCACCUCGAUGUCGGCUCAUCACAUCCUGGGGCUGAAGCAGGUCCCAAGGGUACGGCUGUUCGCCGUUUAAAGUGGUACGCGAGCUGGGUUUAAAACGUCGUGAGACAGUUUGGUCCCUAUCUUCUGUGGGCGUAGAGAAUUGAGAGGGUUUGUCCCUAGUACGAGAGGACCGGGAUGAACGCACCACUGGUGGAUCAGUUGUCGCGCCAGCGGCAUAGCUGAGUAGCUAUGUGCGGAAUGGAUAACCGCUGAAAGCAUCUAAGCGGGAAGCCAGCCUCGAGAUAAGUUCUCCCUGUCGCAAGACACUAAAGGGCCGAUGCAGACUACAUCGUUGAUAGGCCGGAGGUGGAAGCGCUGCGAAGCGUGGAGCUGACCGGUACUAAUAGCCCGUGCGCCG